CCUUUGACCACUCUGGAGACAGAGCUUUCCCUUCGGGGACAAAGUGACAGGUGGUGCAUGGUUGUCGUCAGCUCGUGUCGUGAGAUGUUGGGUUAAGUCCCGCAACGAGCGCAACCCUUGAUUUUAGUUGCCAGCAUUUAGUUGGGCACUCUAAAGUGACUGCCGGUGCAAGCCGGAGGAAGGUGGGGAUGACGUCAAAUCAUCAUGCCCCUUAUGACCUGGGCUACACACGUGCUACAAUGGAUAGUACAAAGGGUCGCGAAGCCGCGAGGUGGAGCUAAUCCCAUAAAACUAUUCUCAGUUCGGAUUGUAGGCUGCAACUCGCCUACAUGAAGCCGGAAUCGCUAGUAAUCGUGGAUCAGCAUGCCACGGUGAAUACGUUCCCGGGCCUUGUACACACCGCCCGUCACACCACGAGAGUUUGUAACACCCGAAGUCGGUAGGGUAACCUUUAUGGAGCCAGCCGCCGAAGGUGGGACAGAUAAUUGGGGUGAAGUCGUAACAAGGUAGCCGUAUCGGAAGGUGCGGCUGGAUCACCUCCUUUCUAAGGAA
Molecule: ribosomal RNA, 552 nt
Filed under: Listeria monocytogenes
Lineage: Bacteria; Bacillati; Bacillota; Bacilli; Caryophanales; Listeriaceae
Also listed under: 1 other name
Description: bacterial SSU rRNA
Rfam family: Bacterial small subunit ribosomal RNA
Source: RNAcentral